AGUGAACGCUGGCGGCAGGCCUAACACAUGCAAGUCGAGCGGCAGCGGGUCCCCGCGAGGGGAUGCCGGCGAGCGGCGGACGGGUGAGGAACACAUCGGAAUCUGCCUGGUUGUGGGGGAUAACGUAGGGAAACUUACGCUAAUACCGCAUGCGACCCUGAGUCGACGGACUGGGGGUGAAAGUGAGGGACCUUCGGGCCGUCACGCGACCAGAUGAGCCGAUGUCGGAUUAGCUAGUUGGCGGGGUAACGGCCCGCCAAGGCGACGAUCCGUAGCUGGUCUGAGAGGAUGAUCAGCCACACUGGGACUGAGACACGGCCCAGACUCCUACGGGAGGCAGCAGUGGGGAAUCUUGGACAAUGGGCGCAAGCCUGAUCCAGCCAUGCCGCGU
RNAcentral lists this ribosomal RNA (391 nucleotides) under uncultured bacterium. RNAcentral's name for it is "bacterial SSU rRNA". It matches the Rfam family "Bacterial small subunit ribosomal RNA", at positions 30 to 402 of the family's 1533-position model. The record is from RNAcentral.